GAUAAACGCUGGCGGCGUGCCUAACACAUGCAAGUCGAACGCCCUUUUGCGCAAGUGAGAGGGAGUGGCGGACGGGUGAGUAGCACGUGGGUACCUACCCCAAGAUGAGGAAUACCACCGAGAAAUCGGUGACAAGACCGCAUACCUUCGGCCACGAAGAAAGCUUCUCCUCACGAGAGGCGUCUUGGGAUGGGCCUGCGCCUGAUUAGCUGGUUGGUGAGGUAACAGCNCACCAAGGCGACGAUCAGUAGCUGGUCUGAGAGGAUGAUCAGCCACACUGGGAUUGAGAACGGCCCAGACUCCUACGGGGGGCAGCAGUGAGGAAUUUUCGUCAAUGGGGGCAACCCUGAACGAGCAACGCCGCGUGCGAGGAUGACUACGUUUU
This 385-nucleotide ribosomal RNA is filed under the name uncultured bacterium. RNAcentral describes it as "bacterial SSU rRNA". It matches the Rfam family "Bacterial small subunit ribosomal RNA", at positions 28 to 420 of the family's 1533-position model. The record is from RNAcentral.